Molecule: ribosomal RNA, 625 nt
Filed under: Penicillium sp. BAB-3260
Lineage: Eukaryota; Fungi; Ascomycota; Eurotiomycetes; Eurotiales; Aspergillaceae
Description: eukaryotic LSU rRNA
Rfam family: 5.8S ribosomal RNA (bases 208-361)
Source: RNAcentral
UCCGUAGGUGAACCUGCGGAAGGAUCAUUACCGAGUGAGGGCCCUCUGGGUCCAACCUCCCACCCGUGUUUAUCGUACCUUGUUGCUUCGGCGGGCCCGCCUCACGGCCGCCGGGGGGCAUCCGCCCCCGGGCCCGCGCCCGCCGAAGACACACAAACGAACUCUUGUCUGAAGAUUGCAGUCUGAGUACUUGACUAAAUCAGUUAAAACUUUCAACAACGGAUCUCUUGGUUCCGGCAUCGAUGAAGAACGCAGCGAAAUGCGAUAAGUAAUGUGAAUUGCAGAAUUCAGUGAAUCAUCGAGUCUUUGAACGCACAUUGCGCCCCCUGGUAUUCCGGGGGGCAUGCCUGUCCGAGCGUCAUUGCUGCCCUCAAGCACGGCUUGUGUGUUGGGCUCUCGCCCCCCGCUUCCGGGGGGCGGGCCCGAAAGGCAGCGGCGGCACCGCGUCCGGUCCUCGAGCGUAUGGGGCUUCGUCACCCGCUCUGUAGGCCCGGCCGGCGCCCGCCGGCGAACACCAUCAAUCUUAACCAGGUUGACCUCGGAUCAGGUAGGGAUACCCGCUGAACUUAAGCAUAUCAAUAAGCGGAGGAAAAGAAACCANCAGGGAUUGCCUCAGUAACUGCGA